This 440-nucleotide ribosomal RNA is filed under the name uncultured bacterium. Its description in RNAcentral is "bacterial SSU rRNA". It matches the Rfam family "Bacterial small subunit ribosomal RNA", at positions 339 to 796 of the family's 1533-position model. The record is from RNAcentral.
CUACGGGAGGCAGCAGUGGGGAAUAUUGGACAAUGGGCGCAAGCCUGAUCCAGCCAUGCCGCGUGAGUGAUGAAGGCCUUCGGGUUGUAAAGCCCUUUUGUCGGGGACGAUAAUGACGGUACCCGGAGAAUAAGCUCCGGCUAACUUCGUGCCAGCAGCCGCGGUAAUACGAAGGGAGCUAGCGUUGUUCGGAAUUACUGGGCGUAAAGCGCACGUAGGCGGACUAUUAAGUCAGGGGUGAAAUCCCGGGGCUCAACCCCGGAACUGCCUUUGAUACUGGUAGUCUCGAGUCCGGAAGAGGUGAGUGGAAUUCCGAGUGUAGAGGUGAAAUUCGUAGAUAUUCGGAGGAACACCAGUGGCGAAGGCGGCUCACUGGUCCGGUACUGACGCUGAGGUGCGAAAGCGUGGGGAGCAAACAGGAUUAGAAACCCUGGUAGUCC